This 305-nucleotide ribosomal RNA is filed under the name uncultured Glomus. RNAcentral describes it as "SSU rRNA". It matches the Rfam family "Eukaryotic small subunit ribosomal RNA", at positions 794 to 1092 of the family's 1831-position model. The record is from RNAcentral. Lineage: Eukaryota; Fungi; Glomeromycota; Glomeromycetes; Glomerales; Glomeraceae.
CUUGAAUACAUUAGCAUGGAAUAAUGAAAUAGGACGUUUGUAUUCUAUUUUGUUGGUUUCUUAGGAUCGACGUAAUGAUUAAUAGGGAUAGUUGGGGGCAUUAGUAUUCAAUUGUCAGAGGUGAAAUUCUUGGAUUUAUUGAAGACUAACUACUGCGAAAGCAUUUGCCAAGGAUGUUUUCAUUAAUCAAGAACGAAAGUUAGGGGAUCGAAGACGAUCAGAUACCGUCGUAGUCUUAACCAUAAACUAUGCCGACUAGGGAUCGGAUGAUGUUAAUUUUUUAAUGACUCAUUCGGCGCCUUACG